This 735-nucleotide ribosomal RNA is filed under the name uncultured Fusobacterium sp. RNAcentral describes it as "bacterial SSU rRNA". It matches the Rfam family "Bacterial small subunit ribosomal RNA", at positions 28 to 776 of the family's 1533-position model. The record is from RNAcentral. Lineage: Bacteria; Fusobacteriati; Fusobacteriota; Fusobacteriia; Fusobacteriales; Fusobacteriaceae.
GAUGAACGCUGACAGAAUGCUUAACACAUGCAAGUCAACUUGAAUUUGGGUUUUUAACUUAGGUUUGGGUGGCGGACGGGUGAGUAACGCGUAAAGAACUUGCCUCACAGGUAGGGACAACAUUUGGAAACGAAUGCUAAUACCUAAUAUUAUGAUAAUAGGGCAUCCUAUAAUUAUGAAAGCUAUAAGCGCUGUGAGAGAGCUUUGCGUCCCAUUAGCUAGUUGGAGAGGUAACGGCUCACCAAGGCGAUGAUGGGUAGCCGGCCUGAGAGGGUGAUCGGCCACAAGGGGACUGAGACACGGCCCUUACUCCUACGGGAGGCAGCAGUGGGGAAUAUUGGACAAUGGACCGAGAGUCUGAUCCAGCAAUUCUGUGUGCACGAUGAAGUUUUUCGGAAUGUAAAGUGCUUUCAGUUGGGAAGAAACAAAUGACGGUACCAACAGAAGAAGUGACGGCUAAAUACGUGCCAGCAGCCGCGGUAAUACGUAUGUCACGAGCGUUAUCCGGAUUUAUUGGGCGUAAAGCGCGUCUAGGUGGUUAUGUAAGUCUGAUGUGAAAAUGCAGGGCUCAACUCUGUAUUGCGUUGGAAACUGUAUAACUAGAGUACUGGAGAGGUAAGCGGAACUACAAGUGUAGAGGUGAAAUUCGUAGAUAUUUGUAGGAAUGCCGAUGGGGAAGCCAGCUUACUGGACAGAUACUGACGCUGAAGCGCGAAAGCAUGGGUAGCAAACAGG